AGCAUUUGUGCCAAUUUCUGGUUGGA
This 26-nucleotide non-coding RNA is filed under the name Cricetulus griseus (Chinese hamster). The record is from RNAcentral. Lineage: Eukaryota; Metazoa; Chordata; Mammalia; Rodentia; Cricetidae.